Non-coding RNA from Schistosoma mattheei, 46 nucleotides. Lineage: Eukaryota; Metazoa; Platyhelminthes; Trematoda; Strigeidida; Schistosomatidae. The record is from Rfam.
AUCCAGCUGACGAGUCCCAAAAUAGGACAAAACGCGCGUCCUGGAU